ACAGUUUGAUCCUGGCUCAUAACGAAUGUUGGCGGCGUGGAUUAGGCAUGCAAGUCGAACGAGAACCGUAGCAAUACGGGGAAAGUGGCGAAAGGGGCAGUAAUGCAUGGGUAAUCUACCCCGGGGACGUGGAUAGCUAUCCUAACGGGUAGGUAAUACACGGCGAUUCGGCGAGGAGACAUCUUCUUGCCGGGAAAUGAAUUUCGCCUCGGGAGGAGCUCAUGUCGUAUUAGCUUGUUGGCGGGGUAACGGCCCACCAAGGCAAAGAUGCGUAGCGGGUGUGAGAGCACGACCCGCGCCACUGGCACUGAGACACUGGCCAGACACCUACGGGUGGCUGCAGUCGAGGAUCUUCGGCAAUGUGCGCAAGCAUGACCGAUCGACGCCGCGUGUGCGACGAAGGCCUUCGGGUUGUAAAGCACUGUCCAGGGGGAGGAAGACCCGAAAGGGUUUGACCUAUCCCUGGAGGAAGCACGGGCUAAGUUCGUGCCAGCAUCCGCGGUAAGACGAACCGUGCAAACGUUGUUCGGAAUCACUGGGCUUAAAGGGCGCGUAUGCGGGCCGCAAAGUCGGGGGUGAAAUCCUCCAGCUCAACUGGAGAACUGCCUUUGAUACUGGCGGCCUGGAGUAAGGUAGGGGCGUGCGGAACUGAUGGUGGAGCGGUGAAAUGUGUUGAUAUCAUCAGGAACUCCGGUGGCGAAAGCGGCACGCUGGACCUUCACUGACGCUGAUGCGCGAAAGCCAGGGGAGCAACGGGAUUAGAUACCCCGGUAGUCCUGCCCUAAACGAUGAGUACUAUGUUGUAGACUUGACAUGGGUUUACAGCCGGAGCAAAAGUGCUAACUACUCCGCCUGUGGAGUAUGGUCGCAAGGCUGAAACUCCAAGGAAUUGACGG
This 896-nucleotide ribosomal RNA is filed under the name uncultured bacterium. RNAcentral's name for it is "bacterial SSU rRNA". It matches the Rfam family "Bacterial small subunit ribosomal RNA", at positions 8 to 916 of the family's 1533-position model. The record is from RNAcentral.